This 481-nucleotide ribosomal RNA is filed under the name uncultured bacterium. Its description in RNAcentral is "partial 16S ribosomal RNA". It matches the Rfam family "Bacterial small subunit ribosomal RNA", at positions 28 to 507 of the family's 1533-position model. The record is from RNAcentral.
GAUGAACGCUGGCGGCGUGCCUAACACAUGCAAGUCGAACGGAGAUUACGGACGGAAGUUUUCGGAUGGAAGACUGUAAUUCUUAGUGGCGGACGGGUGAGUAACGCGUGGGCAACCUGCCCUAUACAGGGGGAUAGCAGCUGGAAACGGCUGGUAUGACCGCAUAAGUCGGCGAGACCGCAUGGUUUUGCCGGGAAAUGAGCAAUCAGGUAUAGGAUGGGCCCGCGUCCGAUUAGCCAGUUGGCAGGGUAAAAGCCUACCAAAGCAACGAUCGGUAGCCGGACUGAGAGGUCGGACGGCCACAUUGGGACUGAGACACGGCCCAAACUCCUACGGGAAGCAGCAGUGGGGGAUAUUGCACAAGGGAGGAAACUCUGAUGCAGCGACGCCGCGUGAGUGAAGAAGUAUUUCGGUAUGUAAAGCUCUAUCAGCAGGGAAGAUGAUGACGGUACCUGACUAAGAAGCCCCGGCUAACUACGUG